This is a non-coding RNA of Pelobates cultripes (western spadefoot toad), 419 nucleotides long. The record is from the annotation of a GenBank genome assembly. Lineage: Eukaryota; Metazoa; Chordata; Amphibia; Anura; Pelobatidae.
CAGAUUGUAAAGUUUUUCUCUCCCAGUUUCUUCAUUUCUGCUUGGUAACAGCAAGAAAAUAGAUGCAACUACUAGGAAUCCGGGCUUCCACCAGCAGACUUGUCAGAGGGGCCCAAUGGCAUCUCUGGAUUCCUUACAGAUCCUUCCUAUCUUGGUCUAACAAGAGAAAGAUUAUUGGAGCCAGCCACUUACUAUGUCCCCAUCAGUGGAGUUGCACCUUACCCUGGCAGCUGAAAGAGGGAUUGGAUCUCUGAGUUUCCAGUGAACAGAACCUCAUUGGUCAAUUAUUAGUUCGAAUUCCAGUUUUUAUAAGAUUGGUUGCACAGUGUUUGGACCAUGUUGCACAAUAUUUCCAUUCAUUUGUAUGGAAUUAAGUCAUUUUCUAGGCUCUUCUUCACUUCAGAGGCUUGCUGAAGAAC